Molecule: non-coding RNA, 340 nt
Filed under: Messastrum gracile
Lineage: Eukaryota; Viridiplantae; Chlorophyta; Chlorophyceae; Sphaeropleales; Selenastraceae
Source: RNAcentral
UUGCCACGCCAGAUGGCAGCCCUUGCCCAUUGCCGAUUUCGAUCAGGUUGCUUGAGUGCCCAGCAGCCUUGCAACCCUAAACUAGUGUUGCACUCGCCCUUCACGCAAAGGCGGCAAUUACACCUCUCCCCAUGGGUCUUGGUCGCCCGCUUCUCCCCAACUCAAAAUGAAACGGGCUUGUCGGCGAUGCCGCGCUCGGGCCUUCUACCGUCUGACGCGGGCCCGCCAAUGGACAUGGCGGCCAUUCAUGCCCCGCUAGUAGCAAGGGCAUCGAAAGUGGUUUCACCACGCCGGCUGCCAAAGGCCGGGCGGGUCCAGUGCCAAGCUGGCUGCAUAUUGC